AUUAAGGGGAAAAACACAUGCAUUAUACCCUUGAUGUUGACAUUCCAUCUAUCGCAGCAUUAUCAACAUACCGAAACUGUACUCAUUAGCCCGUGGGAUAAGGACUUGGAGGAUAAAUGUUAUUAAAGGAUAUGUUUAUCUUAACUUUACACUGGAAAACUGAAGAUAUGAAGUUUGGGACUGAAGAUAUGUGUACAUUUUAAAUCUUCAAAUUCUUUUAAGAAGCCAUGCAAACCAUCCUAUUUUGUUCUGGCAUUGCAAGUGCUCAUCCUUCUGGAAGGUUUCAGCUUUCACCUCUGCUGGUAAAGUCCCAGUUCACAUCUGACCUCUUCCCCACCUCUGCUUACC
Molecule: long non-coding RNA, 348 nt
Filed under: Vulpes vulpes (red fox)
Lineage: Eukaryota; Metazoa; Chordata; Mammalia; Carnivora; Canidae
Description: lncRNA (ENSVVUG00000000440.1)
Source: RNAcentral